AAGCGGAGGAAAAGAAACCAACAGGGAUUGCCCCAGUAACGGCGAGUGAAGCGGCAACAGCUCAAAUUUGAAAUCUGGCCCCCCGGGUCCGAGUUGUAAUUUGCAGAGGAUGCUUCGGGCGAGGUGCCUUCCGAGUUCCCUGGAACGGGACGCCACAGAGGGUGAGAGCCCCGUCUGGUCGGACACCGAGCCCGUGUGAAGCUCCUUCGAAGAGUCGAGUAGUUUGGGAAUGCUGCUCAAAAUGGGAGGUAUAUGUCUUCUAAAGCUAAAUAUUGGCCAGAGACCGAUAGCGCACAAGUAGAGUGAUCGAAAGAUGAAAAGCACUUUGAAAAGAGGGUUAAAAAGUACGUGAAAUUGUUGAAAGGGAAGCGCCCAUGACCAGACUUGGGCCCGGUGAAUCACCCGGCGUUCUCGCCGGUGCACUUUGCCGGGCACAGGCCAGCAUCAGUUUGGCGCGGGGGACAAAGGCUUCGGGAACGUGGCUCCCUCGGGAGUGUUAUAGCCCGCUGCGUAAUACCCUGCGCCGGACUGAGGUACGCGCAUCGCAAGGAUGCUGGCGUAAUGGUCAUCAGCGACCCGUCUUGAAACACGGACCAAGGAGUCGUCUUCGUAUGCGAGUGUUCGGGUGUCAAACCCCUACGCGGAAUGAAAGUGAACGCAGGUGAGAGCUUCGGCGCAUCAUCGACCGAUCCUGAUGUUCUCGGAUGGAUUUGAGUAAGAGCAUACGGGGCCGGACCCGAAAGAAGGUGAACUAUGCCUGUAUAGGGUGAAGCCAGAGGAAACUCUGGUGGAAGCUCGCAGCGGUUCUGACGUGCGAAUCGAUCGUCAAAUAUGGGCAUGGGGGCGAAAGACUAAUCGAACCUUCU
Molecule: ribosomal RNA, 866 nt
Filed under: Cordyceps tenuipes
Lineage: Eukaryota; Fungi; Ascomycota; Sordariomycetes; Hypocreales; Cordycipitaceae
Description: LSU rRNA
Rfam family: Eukaryotic large subunit ribosomal RNA
Source: RNAcentral